AAAAGUUCAAAAAAAAACCAAAAAACCAAUCUCGGUUUUCGUCAUUGU
RNAcentral lists this small RNA (48 nucleotides) under Arabidopsis thaliana (thale cress). RNAcentral's name for it is "ATSL146190". Lineage: Eukaryota; Viridiplantae; Streptophyta; Magnoliopsida; Brassicales; Brassicaceae. The record is from RNAcentral.